AAGUCGUAACAAGGUAACCGUAGGUGAACCUGCGGUUGGAUCAUUAGCAAUUAGCUGUCCCGUCACAGCGUCCCUGCCCGUUGCGGUAGGGAAUGCUCGUGCGCGGGGUAAUCCAAACAUGAUGUGAACUGUGCUGUCUCUGGCGGCGGGAUGCUGUAUGGGAAUGUGUGCUUUAUGCUUACAGCCCCACACGUAUCUGUCAGUUUUGGAAGGUGCGCGUUUAGUCGCCCCUUUUCAAGGCCGUGGACAAACCGCCAAACAACCUUAUCAACUCCAUAGCGUGUUAUUUUGACGUCUAAGCAAUGCACUUGUAUUUUUAAUAUACAAACAACUUUUGGCAACGGAUCUCUUGGCUCUC
This 358-nucleotide unclassified non-coding RNA is filed under the name Spizellomyces sp. RNAcentral's name for it is "partial internal transcribed spacer region". The stretch from base 1 to 46 matches the Rfam family "Eukaryotic small subunit ribosomal RNA", at positions 1786 to 1831 of the family's 1831-position model. Lineage: Eukaryota; Fungi; Chytridiomycota; Chytridiomycetes; Spizellomycetales; Spizellomycetaceae. The record is from RNAcentral.